AUAUCAAUAAGCGGAGGAAAAGAAACCAACAGGGAUUGCCCUAGUAACGGCGAGUGAAGCGGCAACAGCUCAAAUUUGAAAUCUGGCGUCUUUGGCGUCCGAGUUGUAAUUUGCAGAGGGCGCUUUGGCAUUGGCAGCGGUCCAAGUUCCUUGGAACAGGACGUCACAGAGGGUGAGAAUCCCGUACGUGGUCGCUAGCCUUUACCGUGUAAAGCCCCUUCGACGAGUCGAGUUGUUUGGGAAUGCAGCUCUAAAUGGGAGGUAAAUUUCUUCUAAAGCUAAAUACUGGCCAGAGACCGAUAGCGCACAAGUAGAGUGAUCGAAAGAUGAAAAGCACUUUGGAAAGAGAGUUAAAAAGCAC
RNAcentral lists this ribosomal RNA (361 nucleotides) under uncultured fungus. RNAcentral's name for it is "eukaryotic LSU rRNA". It matches the Rfam family "Eukaryotic large subunit ribosomal RNA", at positions 40 to 398 of the family's 3401-position model. The record is from RNAcentral. Lineage: Eukaryota; Fungi.